RNAcentral lists this ribosomal RNA (485 nucleotides) under uncultured bacterium. RNAcentral's name for it is "partial 16S ribosomal RNA". It matches the Rfam family "Bacterial small subunit ribosomal RNA", at positions 28 to 507 of the family's 1533-position model. The record is from RNAcentral.
GAUGAACGCUCGCGGCAGGCUUAACACAUGCAAGUCGAGGGGCAGCGCGGGAUAGCAAUAUCCUGGCGGCGACCGGCGGAAGGGUGCGUAACGCGUGAGCGACAUGCCCGUUGCCCGGGGACAACCGGUGGAAACGCCGACUAAUCCCCGAUGGGAUACGUUGCUUCAUGGCAUUGUAUUGAAAGUUACGGCGGCGACGGAUUGGCUCGCGUCCGAUUAGCUGGUUGGCGGGGUAACGGCCCACCAAGGCUGCGAUCGGUAGGGGUUCUGAGAGGAAGGCCCCCCACAAUGGGACUGAGACACGGCCAUACUCCUACGGGAGGCAGCAGUGAGGAAUAUUGGUCAAUGGGCGGAAGCCUGAACCAGCCAUGCCGCGUGCGGGAAGGAGGCCCUAUGGGCUGUGAACCGCUUUUGCCUGGGGGCAAUAAGGGCGUCGCGCACGUCCGAUGAGAGUACCAGGCGAAUAAGCAUCGGCUAACUCCGUG